This 244-nucleotide ribosomal RNA is filed under the name uncultured Actinomycetales bacterium. Its description in RNAcentral is "partial 16S ribosomal RNA". It matches the Rfam family "Bacterial small subunit ribosomal RNA", at positions 89 to 334 of the family's 1533-position model. Lineage: Bacteria; Bacillati; Actinomycetota; Actinomycetes; Actinomycetales. The record is from RNAcentral.
GCUCGAGUGGCGAACGGGUGAGUAACACGUGAGUAACCUGCCCUUGACUUUGGGAUAACUUCAGGAAACUGGGGCUAAUACCGGAUAGGAGCUCCUGCUGCAUUGUGGGGGUUGGAAAGUUUCGGCGGUUGGGGAUGGACUCGCGGCUUAUCAGCUUGUUGGUGGGGUAGUGGCUUACCAAGGCUUUGACGGGUAGCCGGCCUGAGAGGGUGACCGGCCACAUUGGGACUGAGAUACGGCCCAG